CGUGUCGUGAGAUGUUGGGUUAAGUCCCGCAACGAGCGCAACCCUUGUUACUAGUUGCCAGCAUUCAGUUGGGCACUCUAGUGAGACUGCCGGUGACAAACCGGAGGAAGGUGGGGACGACGUCAGAUCAUCAUGCCCCUUAUGACCUGGGCUACACACGUGCUACAAUGGACGGUACAACGAGUCGCGAACUCGCGAGGGCAAGCUAAUCUCUUAAAACCGUUCUCAGUUCGGACUGCAGGCUGCAACUCGCCUGCACGAAGUCGGAAUCGCUAGUAAUCGCGGAUCAGCAUGCCGCGGUGAAUACGUUCCCGGGCCUUGUACACACCGCCCGUCACACCAUGAGAGUUUGCAACACCCAAAGUCGGUGGGGUAACCCUUCGGGGAGCUAGCCGCCUAAGGUGGGGCAGAUGAUUAGGGU
This 421-nucleotide ribosomal RNA is filed under the name uncultured bacterium. RNAcentral's name for it is "bacterial SSU rRNA". It matches the Rfam family "Bacterial small subunit ribosomal RNA", at positions 1061 to 1481 of the family's 1533-position model. The record is from RNAcentral.